RNAcentral lists this ribosomal RNA (469 nucleotides) under uncultured bacterium. RNAcentral describes it as "partial 16S ribosomal RNA". It matches the Rfam family "Bacterial small subunit ribosomal RNA", at positions 28 to 507 of the family's 1533-position model. The record is from RNAcentral.
GACGAACGCUGGCGGCGUGCUUAACACAUGCAAGUCGAACGGAAAGGCCCUGCUUGCCGGGUGCUCGAGUGGCGAACGGGUGAGUAACACGUGGGUGAUCUGCCCCUUACUUUGGGAUAAGCCUGGGAAACUGGGUCUAAUACUGGAUAGGACCAUGCUGUAGGUGGUGUGGUGGAAAGAUUAGUUUCGGUAAGGGAUGAGCUCGCGGCCUAUCAGCUUGUUGGUGGGGUAUUGGCCUACCAAGGCGUCGACGGGUGGCCGGCCUGAGAGGGUGGACGGCCACAUUGGGACUGAGAUACGGCGCAGACGCCUACGGGAGGCAGCAGUGGGGAAUAUUGCACAAUGGGCGGAAGCCGGAUGCAGCGACGCCGCGUGGGGGAUGACGGCCUUCGGGUUGUAAACUCCUUUCAGCCAUGACGAAGCCCUUGUGGUGACGGUAGUGGUAGAAGAAGCACCGGCUAACUACGUG